CCGAUUGACCAUAAUAAACAAUUAAACAGUUUGGUCCUAAUCUUUUUAACUUCUGAAACGAUUUUGAUGAAAAAUGUUUAUUGUUCCUUUAGUUAAAGGGCAACAUUAGUAAUACACAGGCUUUUCUGCAAUUUCCAAUUGAAUGGGAGAAACCUUAGGUGAGAGAGAGAAAAACUACCGACAUUCUAAACAUAUUGUAAUAUAAUCAUGCCAAAAUAAGAAAAACGAAUAUACAAUUUACUACUCAAGAAGAAUAAAAAAAGCGUAAUUUCACUAAAAACAGGGAUAAAGGGACGCUUAUUCCAGUGUGAGAGCGCUUCAAAAUUGGCGUCUUUUAUAACAUUUUGCAUUGUAGCCAGAUCAGUCAAAAUAAAAAUUGUUGGACAUUUAAACUAAAACACCCAACAUUUAUUAAGAUUAAAAUUAUUAUAUAUAUAUCCGAUUAACACAUGGAGGAACUAUUUAAAUCCUUUUUUGUGAUUUUGUGACAUUUUAAAACAACUGGUUUUUGAACAUUCAAUAGUUGAGAGAGUUGAGCAUUCCUUCAUCUCUGCAACAAAUUUGGCUUUUAGAGAGGUGAGUUCUUCUUUUUAUAAAUAUGUUGUAAAAUUAAUUAUAUUUAUAUUGUAAAAUUAAUUUGUUUUACUUUAUACAUAGAAAAACGCGACACAAAACCGAUCAAUAAGCAUUGCGGAAAAAUUGCAUUCCUAGAAUAAAACCAAUUCAGAGGCGUCCUGAACAGUUUUCCUAACAUUAUUUCAACACGAACGCGAUUGGUUAACAUCUAUGCAAAAGAUGAGCAAUGACCAGAUGACCGAUGUGAAUCGUCGCACCAAUGUAAGUUCCUAUGCUGUAAUAGCUGAAAUGUAGGAUUUUAAACAAAAUCAUGUUACACAAAUGAAACCGGCGCUUAAAUCUUUUAUAGGCGAGUUUUUGGCAAGAAACCUGCGAAGAAAUAAUGUAUGACAUGGUGUAUAAUCGUGAUGAAGGGGCCGAAUCAUAUUGUUUAAAUAGACACACAAUUUAUGGUGGACACACACCACUGAUUUAUAAUUAAUGUUGCUUUAUUUUUAGGAAAAGCUCCGUAUCUCGAUAUAUUUUAUACAAGCAAUAAGUUUUGAUUUAUUCCGUCAUAUAAGAACAGUGUUUUAUAAUAAUUCUUCCGGAUAGAGUGGUGUGUACAUGUAGAGGGAGGCUAAACUCAUUUAACCAGAUAUUUUGUAUGCAUGUAUCUUUAUAAUUGUAGUAUAUAUAAAUAUAUUGUUAAAUGCACUUCUUGAAGUAUACAAUUUAAGUGUUAAUACUUAUAUUUAACCUAUAUACAUAUGUGUAACAUAGUAUAUA
This is a non-coding RNA of Bactrocera oleae (olive fruit fly), 1344 nucleotides long. The record is from RefSeq and is a predicted model, not a curated record. Lineage: Eukaryota; Metazoa; Arthropoda; Insecta; Diptera; Tephritidae.